AAAGGGGUAUCCUGGCAUUGGGGGGUCUCUUCACCGAUCAACUUCAGGAGAAGUUUGGUGGUAGUAGUCCCGAGUUGAAUCAAACGCGCCUCAGCCGUGACGCGUGUGCGCUGACCAACACGUCAGCAGACCGCGGGACGGUAGUGAACCCUCGACACGGGCACAGGUCGGCUCCGCGUCUCGCACUUACGCGUUGCAGCUCCUUGAGGAACAGCACGUAGACGUGACCCAGCUCCACCGCAGCCCGAGACACCGGCCCGCUGUCCAUGGCGGCGUUGGAAAAACAACAGCGUACAAAGCGCAAAAGCUACGCCCGACGAGUGACGACGAUACGCGGCGUUGACCGACUGCUAGCUAGCAUGCUAGCACGUUAGCCGCGCACGGCACCGUUGGGCAAACAGUGGAAGGGACAUACAAAAUACAAACGCGUCUUUCUUUACAACGUGUGGCAGUCGACACGGGUUAUAGAAGAAUAAAAAUAAAGUAAAAAAACAAACAAAACGUCGAGUCCCAUUCACGACCAGGAACAACGACCACAAACAGCUGACGAGCUCGAGACGUUCGCUGAGCUGGAGGCGUCAAUACUACGGACGACGAGGAGCUGUCGGUUGUGCCAGCAGCCCGCUCUCACUACCGGCUGUGAUCGACUCUGUGGUGGGUUGAACUUCAACCUACAGUCAACAAGACGGGGGGAGGCCCGUGGUGCGUUCAGGAAACAUCGGACACACCAUGCAUCCCCGAUAAAAAAACUUAAAAACCUAACCAAUUUGAAAUCUUGCUUUUUAAUGUACGUCACAUGUGCUCUUUACUGCUUGAAGGGCAAUAGACGUGGCCGUUUUAUCUUGUAGGCUUAUAAUUCAUUAUUUUUGAUAAUUUCUACUGAAUGUAAUUGCGUUCACAUCCCUUGACAAACAAGAAUGUUUGAUGGCCUGUGGUAGUUCACAGCCUGGUGGAUGGGAACCACUAGAUUAGGUGCUGGUUGAGGUUAUGUGUCAUUAAAACUUUUGUGGAUGGAAAUAUUGAAUAUAAUUAACUCAACAAGGAGACAAACCUAGUGUAUACAUUGUUUGGUGUAAACUUACCACAGUGGUCCACUCCAGAACUUUACUCUUGGUGAAAGAAAGGAUGCAGCCCAUGUAAACAACUCCAGUUGAGAAUAAUCCCACUUCUACUUCGUGACUUUCAGACGCUGGUUCCAUUGACUCCAAAGAUCCUGAAGGAACAAAAAUGAUCCAUUUCUUAAUUUGUUCACGUUGGACAAUGAGAAAAGUCUCAUUUAAGGUUAAUCAUCUCAUGCAUUGAAAAGGAUUCUUCCAAAACAAGGUAAAGCUAAGACAGAAAAAACAAGACUCGUCUAGCAGUGAGGAUUCCUGAAUAGAAAUGUCUGAUUGAAGGUGAAGGUUUGGCAAAAUCUGAACAAUUGUUUGACAAAAAAGAAAAAGAUUCUCCACUCAUGCUAUGUACAUUACCAACCUGAGGGCAAGUGCUCCACCUCAACACCAAGGCCCAUGUCUAAAGGAUUUUCCAGAGUGGCUUGUGGGACCUUCUGUAUCUCAUCCGAUGCGGUGAAUCCCGGCUGAUCGUCUUUGUUUUUAUUAAAGUGUCCGCCAUCCUCCUCCACGCUGACAUCUGGUCCCGUGUGCACUUCAUCCAAAACCAUCUGCUCCACUUCAGUCUCUGCUGGCCCUUCCUCGUGAACUGUCACUGUGAUGUUGUCUUCACUCUUUGUCCCGGGGUCGCUGUCAACCUUGUCCUCUUUGACAAUGUGGGACGUUUCUUCUGUAACAUUCAAUUCAUGUUCAUCUAGAGUGCAGAGAUUGAAAAAAAAAAAAAAACACAACAGAAGCA
Molecule: long non-coding RNA, 1848 nt
Organism: Scophthalmus maximus (turbot)
Lineage: Eukaryota; Metazoa; Chordata; Actinopteri; Pleuronectiformes; Scophthalmidae
Exons: 2
Source: RefSeq, a predicted model, not a curated record